Molecule: non-coding RNA, 530 nt
Organism: Chiloscyllium plagiosum (whitespotted bambooshark)
Lineage: Eukaryota; Metazoa; Chordata; Chondrichthyes; Orectolobiformes; Hemiscylliidae
Source: the annotation of a RefSeq genome assembly
CUCUGUUUAGAAAGAUCUUAGCAGAACCAUUUCCCACAAGUUAUCAGAAUGAUUGUGUCGACAAUUUUUCUCAGUUUGUUACUGACUUUCUUAUCAUGUGUCCAGUCGGAGAUUGUUUUGACUCAGCCAGAGGCAGAGACUGGCCGUCCCGCAUGCAGCCUGAAACUGACCUGUAAAACCAGCGGGUUCGAUCUUAGCAGCUACGGCAUGAACUGGGUCGGACAGGUACCCGGAAAGGGUCUGGAGUGGCUGGUUCGCUACAAUAGUUCAUCCAGCAGUAACUAUGCACCAGCGAUUAAGGGUCAAUUUACUGCGUCCAAAGACACUUCAAACAACAUUUUCGCGUUGGACAUGGAGAACCUGAAGAUCGAAGACACCGCCAUCUAUUACUGUGCAAGAGACCACAACCAAUACUGGGGCCAAGGGACCAUGGUGACAGUGACUUCAGCAAUCCAGUGAAAGUGUCAGUUGGUGAGAUCUUCAAACAGUUACUGGGGUGGGAUCAGGAUGUUCUUCUUCCUAAAUUAUAU